Molecule: long non-coding RNA, 320 nt
Organism: Sciurus carolinensis (gray squirrel)
Lineage: Eukaryota; Metazoa; Chordata; Mammalia; Rodentia; Sciuridae
Exons: 3
Source: RefSeq, a predicted model, not a curated record
GGUUUCUAAAAGUCAGCAGCCAUGGCGAGUCCAGCUACCUUGAGACAGCUGUGCGGUGAGGAAGCCCGAGCCGGCAAUGGAGAGGCCCCCUCGAAGACGCAGUAUCACACAAUGAGCUGGUGAAGGUAAUCAUCCAACAAGCCAAGGGAGUAACCAAGAAUGGAACACACAGAACCAGAAAACCAGGGAUGUAAAACCUUAGAGGCAGGAACCUUCACAGACUUGGUGGCAGCUCCCCCCACCCUCUGCCCUGGGACCUUCUGCAUCGCACAGCCUGACCCGGACUCGACAAGUUUCAAAGCAGUUUCUCCAUGUUGAUA